This 215-nucleotide long non-coding RNA is filed under the name Ananas comosus (pineapple). Its description in RNAcentral is "long non-coding RNA (ACOM_LNC026671)". The record is from RNAcentral. Lineage: Eukaryota; Viridiplantae; Streptophyta; Magnoliopsida; Poales; Bromeliaceae.
CUGAUCGUACUGGUGUGAUCCGUUCGCAAAUCUGACGGACGGAUCUAUAGAGAUCGCGCGUUGAGCGAGGAGAGGUCGGCGAUGGCAAAACGGUAAUUUCGCAAAAGUCGCGACAUUUUAUGUACCGUUUCGCGGGAAAUCGCACGUAGAGGUGCGUUUGCGCAUAUUACUCUUGCUGUAAGGGAUUCAAUAUAAAAUGUUGAGUUUUUGAGGGG